CGAUAAAGGAUUAGAUAUAAAAAAGAAUCAAAAAAUUAUUAAUAUGAUACUUUAAAUUGCAACAGUCUUUUUUUAACUAUUUUUAAACAUCGACCAUCUUUUCAUUUAUAAAAGGAACCAUGUAUAUUGAAAAAAGGGAAUAUGUUAGUUUGUUCCAGGGCGUUUUAUCCUUCGAUUUGGAAAACAAAUGUUUGUUCCGAGCAAAUAUAACUAUACCCCCUUGAAAAAAUGAAUGUUGGGGCUAAACAAAUAUUUGGUUUUCAUUUAGAAAAAAAAAA
This 278-nucleotide long non-coding RNA is filed under the name Mytilus galloprovincialis (Mediterranean mussel). The record is from RNAcentral. Lineage: Eukaryota; Metazoa; Mollusca; Bivalvia; Mytilida; Mytilidae.